GCCCUUAGAGUUUGAUCCUGGCUCAGGAUGAACGCUGGCGGCGUGCCUAAUACAUGCAAGUCGAACGAGGCUCGAAGACUUCGGUUGGAGAUGUCCUAGUGGCGAACGGGUGAGUAACGCGUUGGUGACCUACCCCAAAGAGGGGGAUACCAGUUCGAAAGGACUGUUAAUACCCCAUAAUGUCGUCGUGAUUGAAUACGUGACGAAGAAAGGAGAAAUUCGCUUUGGGAGGGGCCUACGUCCCAUCAGCUAGUUGGUAAGGUAAUGGCUUACCAAGGCUAUGACGGGUAGGGGACCCGAGAGGGUGGCCCCCCACAAUGGAACUGAAACACGGUCCAUACACCUACGGGUGGCAGCAGUAGGGAAUAUUGCUUAAUGGGCGAAAGCCUGAAGCAGCAACGCCGCGUGCACGAUGAAGGCCUUCGGGUUGUAAAGUGCUUUUUGAGGGGAUGAGGAAGGACGGUACCCUCAGA
RNAcentral lists this ribosomal RNA (473 nucleotides) under uncultured bacterium. RNAcentral's name for it is "bacterial SSU rRNA". It matches the Rfam family "Bacterial small subunit ribosomal RNA", at positions 1 to 485 of the family's 1533-position model. The record is from RNAcentral.